Molecule: ribosomal RNA, 798 nt
Filed under: uncultured bacterium
Lineage: Bacteria
Description: bacterial SSU rRNA
Rfam family: Bacterial small subunit ribosomal RNA
Source: RNAcentral
AGAGUUUGAUCCUGGCUCAGAGUGAACGCUGGCGGCAGGCCUAACACAUGCAAGUCGAGCGGCAGCACAGGAAGAGCUUGCUCUUCCGGGUGGCGAGCGGCGGACGGGUGAGGAAUGCAUCGGAAUCUGCCCCGUCGUGGGGGAUAACGUAGGGAAACUUACGCUAAUACCGCAUGAUCUGGAGACAGCAAAGCGGGGGCCCAGCAAUGGCCUCGCGCGAUGGGAUGAGCCGAUGCCGGAUUAGCUUGUUGGUGGGGUAAAGGCCCACCAAGGCGACGAUCCGUAGCUGGUCUGAGAGGAUGAUCAGCCACACUGGGACUGAGACACGGCCCAGACUCCUACGGGAGGCAGCAGUGGGGAAUAUUGGACAAUGGGCGCAAGCCUGAUCCAGCCAUGCCGCGUGAGUGAAGAAGGCCUUCGGGUUGUAAAGCUCUUUUGUCCGGAAAGAAAGACCCUGGAUCAAUACCCUGGGGGAAUGACGGUACCGGAAGAAUAAGCACCGGCUAACUUCGUGCCAGCAGCCGCGGUAAUACGAAGGGUGCAAGCGUUACUCGGAAUUACUGGGCGUAAAGCGUGCGCAGGUGGUGAUUUAAGUCUGUCGUGAAAGCUGCGGGGCUCAACCUGGGGAAUGCNGAUGGAUACUGCGUCACUAGAGCUGCAGUAGAGGAUGGCGGAAUCCCCUGGGUAGCAGUGAACUGCGUAGAGAUCGCGAUGAACAUUCCGUGCGAAGGCUGGCAUCUGUACAGCACUGACCCUCAGGCACGAUGCGUGGGAUCCAACAUGAUAGCAUACCUGNAG